GGUCAGCGUGGCCCUAAACCUGGAAUGUUUUAUGCUUCUUGCAGGUGUCCGUUUGAGCGUGGGCUGUUCUGGCCAUCCCAGAUGUAUGAUCCAGCAUUUUUGAGAGUCCCCAUGGCUGCAGUUCCCAGUGUGCUGUGUCAGGUGUCUGGUUUAGCCUGGGCUGUUCUGGCAAUCCCAGAUGUAUGAUGCAGCAUUUUUGAGAGUCCCCAUGGCUGCAGUUUCCAUUGGUGUCCGUUUGAGCCUGGGACGUUCUGGCCAUCCCAGAUGUAUGAUCCAGCAUUUUUGAGUGUCCCCAUGGCUGCAAAUCCCAGUAUUGUGUGUCAGGUGUCUGGUUUAGCCUGGGCUGUUCUGGCCAUCCCAGAUGUAUGAUCCAGCAUUUUCGAGAGUCCCCAUGUCUGCAGGUCCCAUUGGAGUGUUUCAGGUUUUGCUUCUUGUGCUGUAUUUUCUGCUGGAAUUUCAGCAUUUCUUUGAUUUUAUUAAAACUAUUUUGUGUUUCAUUUUUGUGUC
Non-coding RNA from Lonchura striata (white-rumped munia), 507 nucleotides. NCBI's taxonomy places the organism in Eukaryota, Metazoa, Chordata, Aves, Passeriformes, Estrildidae. The record is from RefSeq and is a predicted model, not a curated record.